RNAcentral lists this small RNA (117 nucleotides) under Marmota monax (woodchuck). The record is from RNAcentral. Lineage: Eukaryota; Metazoa; Chordata; Mammalia; Rodentia; Sciuridae.
GCAGGGCAUGGUGGUGCACACCUGUAGUCCCAGCUACUCGGGAGGCUGAGGCAGGAGGAUCGCUUGAGCCCAGAUGUUUGGGGUCAGCCUGGGCAACAUAGCGAGACCCUGUCUCAA